GACGAACGCUGGCGGCGCGCCUAACACAUGCAAGUCGAACGGAGCUGAGAGAAGCUUGCUUUUCUUAGCUUAGUGGCGAACGGGUGAGUAACGCGUGAGUAACCUGCCCUGGAGUGGGGGACAACAGUUGGAAACGACUGCUAAUACCGCAUAAGCCCACGAUCCGGCAUCGGCUUGAGGGAAAAGGAUUUAUUCGCUUCAGGAUGGACUCGCGUCCAAUUAGCUAGUUGGUGAGGUAACGGCCCACCAAGGCGACGAUUGGUAGCCGGACUGAGAGGUUGAACGGCCACACUGGGACUGAGACACGGCCCAGACUCCUACGGGAGGCAGCAGUGGGGGAUAUUGCACAAUGGGGGAAACCCUGAUGCAGCGACGCCGCGUGGAGGAAGAAGGUUUUCGGAUUGUAAACUCCUGUCGUUAGGGACGAUAAUGACGGUACCUAACAAGAAAGCACCGGCUAACUACGUG
Molecule: ribosomal RNA, 468 nt
Filed under: uncultured bacterium
Lineage: Bacteria
Description: partial 16S ribosomal RNA
Rfam family: Bacterial small subunit ribosomal RNA
Source: RNAcentral